GCUCAUUUUAUAGGGAAAAGAUUUUCGAUACCCAAAUCCUCUUUCUUCCUUCUAGACCUUUAUGUUCAUCAUUUUUUUCUUUUCUUCACACUCCAAUCUCAGAAUUUUCUCUUCACCUAAUUUUGAUUGUCUUCACACUCCAGUUUGCUAAAAUCUUUAGAUAAUCACACUUCAUACUCAGAAUUAUGUAUAACAUGAAAAGGUUGGUGUUUGGUGACAGUUGAUCUUUGGUCUGAGAUAAUUAGAUCAGAGGAAGAAGACGGAGAUGGGUUCAGGGAAGUACCUCAGGUCGAGGUUUAUCAGAGAAGGAAGAAGCUUGAGAAGCUUUCCGCAGCCGAAAAUUUAGUGUGGUCGGUGAAAGGGGCUCGAACUAGUUUUAUCAAUGGACCCAAGAGAGAUAGCUGGACUCGUUCCCUUUCCACCAGAGGGAGGGGAGUAUAGCAGUGGGAGCUUAUGUCAACAAUCAGCCUCAGAAGAAGCCUGUUAGGAGAAAGAAGCCUGUAAUGUCGUUCCUUCAGUCGGUGGAGUCUGGUGUUAUUUGAGCUUGUAAGUGUCAAAUGGUGAGCACUCACUUUAUCUUAGCUCCUUGCCUGCGAUCCAUUUGAUUAUUAGGUCUUUCCUUUCCCAUCCAAUGAUGCCCGGUCUAAUUCCAGAGAAGAAUACCUGCAAACACACAUAUCCAGUUCAUAUUUGCAAAAGUUUGGUCUUAAUGGUUCCGAUUCGAAACUGAAACGAAAGAUUUUAAAGUCGACUUCUUCUGCAUUUAUAGGAAUUUAAAAUAUUUCAAUUGUUGUAUUUCUAACUUUUGACUUUCAAAUUAAGUUCGAAGUUAAUAUAUAAAUUCUGAUUCCAAAACUAAUAUUAUAAUAAAUUUUUAUUUCUAAAUUAA
Brassica napus (rape) is the source of this 889-nucleotide long non-coding RNA. RefSeq lists it as uncharacterized. The record is from RefSeq and is a predicted model, not a curated record. NCBI's taxonomy places the organism in Eukaryota, Viridiplantae, Streptophyta, Magnoliopsida, Brassicales, Brassicaceae. The transcript is spliced from 4 exons.